AUGGGUGAGCGGCGGGGCCGCGGCACGGACUCCAAAUCCGAGGCCCGGGGGUUCGAGUCCCUCCACCUAUGCCA
This 74-nucleotide transfer RNA is filed under the name Xanthobacter autotrophicus. RNAcentral describes it as "tRNA-Trp". It matches the Rfam family "tRNA". Rfam says of the family: Transfer RNA (tRNA) molecules are approximately 80 nucleotides in length. The record is from RNAcentral. RNAcentral also lists the same sequence under 1 other name. Lineage: Bacteria; Pseudomonadati; Pseudomonadota; Alphaproteobacteria; Hyphomicrobiales; Xanthobacteraceae.